CCCCUAGAUGUUCUGGGCCGCACGCGCGCUACACUGAACAGUUCAACAAGUCUUAACCUUGGCCGAUAGGUCUGGGUAAUCUUUGAACGCUGUUCGUGAUUGGGAUAGACCUUUGCAAUUAUGGGUCUUCAACGAGGAAUUCCUAGUAAACGCAAGUCAUCAGCUUGCAUUGAUUACGUCCCUGCCCUUUGUACACACCGCCCGUCGCACCUACCGAUUGAAUGGUCCGGUGAAAUCUCGGGACGGCGGCUUGGUCGCUUGCGUCCGACUGCUGAAACUUGAUUAAACCAAAUCAUUUAGAGGAAGGUGAAGUCGUAACA
Molecule: ribosomal RNA, 320 nt
Filed under: uncultured eukaryote
Lineage: Eukaryota
Description: partial 18S ribosomal RNA
Rfam family: Eukaryotic small subunit ribosomal RNA
Source: RNAcentral